This 73-nucleotide transfer RNA is filed under the name Stegodyphus mimosarum. It matches the Rfam family "tRNA". From Rfam's summary of the family: Transfer RNA (tRNA) molecules are approximately 80 nucleotides in length. Their secondary structure includes four short double-helical elements and three loops (D, anti-codon, and T loops). The record is from Rfam by way of RNAcentral. Lineage: Eukaryota; Metazoa; Arthropoda; Arachnida; Araneae; Eresidae.
GCCUUUGUGGUGUAGUGGUCAGCACGCUCGACGCAUAACCGAGAGGUACGUGGUUCGAUUCCCGGAGAAGGCG